This 228-nucleotide long non-coding RNA is filed under the name Manihot esculenta (cassava). RNAcentral describes it as "long non-coding RNA (MESC_LNC001122)". Lineage: Eukaryota; Viridiplantae; Streptophyta; Magnoliopsida; Malpighiales; Euphorbiaceae. The record is from RNAcentral.
GGCUGCCGAACCCUGCCCCCGAAAGUUGGACUUUCGGCUCUGGAUGGGAGUUUCGGCCGCCGAACCUGCUACCGAACAUGCAUGAGUUUCGGAUCUGGAAGGCACUUUCGGCCGUCGAAGGUGCCGCCGAAGGUGCAUGACUUUCGGCUCUGGAGGGACUUUCGGCCGCCGAACCUACCGCCGAAAGUGCCCUGUUCAGCCUUCCUUUCAUGUUUUCUAUGAUUGUUU